This 398-nucleotide ribosomal RNA is filed under the name uncultured bacterium. RNAcentral's name for it is "partial 16S ribosomal RNA". It matches the Rfam family "Bacterial small subunit ribosomal RNA", at positions 523 to 918 of the family's 1533-position model. The record is from RNAcentral.
AUACGUAGGGUGCGAGCGUUGUCCGGAAUUACUGGGCGUAAAGAGCUCGUAGGUGGUUUGUCGCGUCGUCUGUGAAAUUCCGGGGCUUAACUCCGGGCGUGCAGGCGAUACGGGCAUAACUUGAGUACUGUAGGGGAGACUGGAAUUCCUGGUGUAGCGGUGAAAUGCGCAGAUAUCAGGAGGAACACCGGUGGCGAAGGGGGGUCUCUGGGCAGUAACUGACGCUGAGGAGCGAAAGCAUGGGUAGCGAACAGGAUUAGAUACCCUGGUAGUCCAUGCCGUAAACGGUGGGCGCUAGGUGUAGGGGUCUUCCACGACUUCUGUGCCGUAGCUAACGCAUUAAGCGCCCCGCCUGGGGAGUACGGCCGCAAGGUUGAAACUCAAAGGAAUUGACGGGG